This 472-nucleotide ribosomal RNA is filed under the name uncultured bacterium. Its description in RNAcentral is "bacterial SSU rRNA". It matches the Rfam family "Bacterial small subunit ribosomal RNA", at positions 355 to 825 of the family's 1533-position model. The record is from RNAcentral.
UGGGGAAUUUUUCGCAAUGGGCGCAAGCCUGACGAAGCAACGCCGCGUGGAGGAUGAAGGUCUUCGGAUUGUAAACUCCUGUCGACCGGGACGAAUGCACCCGACCUAAUACGUCGAAGUGUUGACGGUACCGGUGGAGGAAGCCACGGCUAACUCUGUGCCAGCAGCCGCGGUAAUACAGAGGUGGCAAGCGUUGUUCGGAAUUACUGGGCGUAAAGGGCGCGUAGGCGGCCUUAUAAGUCUCGUGUGAAAGCCCUCGGCUUAACUGAGGAUCUGCACGGGAUACUGUAGGGCUCGAGUUCGGGAGAGGAAAGCGGAAUUCCGGGUGUAGCGGUGAAAUGCGUAGAUAUCCGGAGGAACACCAGUGGCGAAGGCGACCACCUGGACUGAUACUGACACUGAGGUGCGAAAGCGUGGGGAGCAAACAGGAUUAGAUACCCCCGUAGUCCCUGAGCGGGCUGGCAAGGCGCAU